GGAAGUAAAAGUCGUUACAAGGUUUCCGUAGGUGAACCUGCGGAAGGAUCAUUAUUGGAUUUUGAAACUUCAGGCUGCUGCUGGCUCUCCUCGGAGGGCAUGUGCACGCUUGUUGUCCAUUAUUUCUCCCACUGUGCACAAAUUGUAGACCUUUCAGUAGGCCUAUGUUGUUUUUCACAAUCUCUGAAUGUAAUAGAAUGGUUUUGAAUCUUGGGAAAUACAAUGCAACUUUCAGCAACGGAUCUCUUGGCUCUC
RNAcentral lists this unclassified non-coding RNA (255 nucleotides) under plant metagenome. Its description in RNAcentral is "partial contains small subunit ribosomal RNA, internal transcribed spacer 1, and 5.8S ribosomal RNA". The stretch from base 1 to 54 matches the Rfam family "Eukaryotic small subunit ribosomal RNA", at positions 1778 to 1831 of the family's 1831-position model. The record is from RNAcentral.